This 812-nucleotide small RNA is filed under the name Pongo abelii (Sumatran orangutan). RNAcentral describes it as "retained intron". Lineage: Eukaryota; Metazoa; Chordata; Mammalia; Primates; Hominidae. The record is from RNAcentral.
CCAGAAUGGUACUUGGCUCAAGUACUUAUGUGGAUUGGAAACCAUACUGAAUUUCUGGAUGAGAAGAUUCAGCCAAUAUUAGACAAAGUAGGCUCUUUGGUAAAUGCAAGGCUUGAAUUUUCUCGGGGCCUUAUGAUGCUGGUUCUUGAGAAGUUAGCCACUGAUAUUCCUUGUCUGCUGUAUGAUGACAAUCUCUUCUGUCAUUUGGUGGAUGAAGUACUCUUGUUUGAAAGGGAGCUACACAGUGUUCAUGGCUAUCCUGGCACUUUUGCUAGUUGUAUGCAUAUUCUAUCAGAGGAAACCUGUUUUCAGAGAUGGUUGACGGUGGAGAGAAAAUUUGCUCUUCAAAAAAUGGACUCAAUGCUUUCCUCAGAAGCUGCCUGGGUAUCGCAAUAUAAGGAUAUCACUGACGUGGAUGAAAUGAAAGUUCCAGAUUGUGCAGAAACUUUUAUGACUUUGCUCUUGGUUAUAACUGACAGGUAUAAAAAUCUUCCCACAGCUUCCCGAAAGCUGCAGUUCCUGGAGUUACAGAAGGACUUAGUAGAUGAUUUCAGGAUACGAUUAACACAGGUGAUGAAAGAAGAGACUAGAGCUUCCCUUGGCUUUCGAUACUGUGCAAUUCUUAAUGCUGUGAACUACAUCUCAACAGUACUAGCAGAUUGGGCUGACAAUGUUGUGAGUUAAUAUGCUUUUAUAUUAAGUAAUAUAUUACCAGUUCGGACUAUUUUAUUAAUACUUUUAAAAAUGUUGAAUCUAUUGCAAGCAAAAAUAAACAUGCUAGACAGAACCAUAGUGCCAUAAUUAGAAGGUGU